This 1307-nucleotide long non-coding RNA is filed under the name Homo sapiens (human). RNAcentral describes it as "novel transcript". The record is from RNAcentral. Lineage: Eukaryota; Metazoa; Chordata; Mammalia; Primates; Hominidae.
GAGUGGAAGAUAGCAAAGACACGGUCACCCUCUUUGGAUUUGGAUCAGAAUAGCAAGGAAAGUGUUUCUAUCACUGGAAGGAGGAUAAUCAGACCAAGGGCUCCAAGGAAAUACUGCCCACGUCUAGUGCAGGAGCAGAAAUCGAAGUCAUCCAUCAGCUAGCGUGUGGACAAGCUCACUAUUCACACAAGCUCAGCCUAGCUGAGUCCAUACAAAUCCUAUUUCUGGCACUCCAGCCAGAAGGACCUCCGUAAUAUGGCCAAGAUACACCCAGGAAUCUGCCACCAUCCCAGCAACUUUUCCAGAAAAUGCAACUGCUCAUCUGAGGUCCACACAUGCUCUGCCUGCCUCCACGUGCCUGGCGAGUCUGACUGGUUUGACAGACGCUUCGACAGUACCGUUGAACCCCUACAGAGGCCACAAGAUCCCACGUCCAAUGAUGCUCUGAUAUUGUGGCUGGGACUCGAGAGGGUCAAGUCAGAGAAGGAGGUUGAGAAUAAGCAGCAGCAGCUGAUUAAAGCACCUCCCCUGUGCCCACUGGGCCAUGUGGUGUCCAACUGCCGGGUCUGUGCAGUGGUGGGAAACUCAAGGUCUCUAUGGAGCUCUGGCCUUGGCUUCAGGAUUAAUCAACAUGAAGUGGUCCUCAGGAUGAACCAGGCCCCUGUCUGAGGCUUUGAGGCAGAUGUGGGGAACAGGACCACCAUGCGCGUUAUGUACCCUGGGAUUGCCAGCCCUCAGGACCCCGGUACCCAACUGCUGCUGCUUCCGUUGAAUUCAUCUGGUCUGGAGUGGUUCAUAAGUGUACUGCAUAAACAGACAAGCAUGUGGAAGCAAAAAAAACCCUGGAUUUCAGACGGUUCAGGUUCCUGGUGGAACCGAAGACAGCAAAGAUAAGGUGCUGGUGAUCAGCCUCUACUUCCUCAGGUAUAUCCAGGAAAGUUGGCUGGAGAACCAUGGUCAGUAUCCGUCCUUGGAGUUUGUGGCUCUGUUGUAUGCCUUGCAUACCUGUGACCAGGUAUCCUUGUUUGGUUUUGGGGAAGACAAUUGCAAAAGGUGGUCCCAUUACUGGGAUGACAAAUAUUGGUUUGAGAACACCAUGCAAAAUUUCCCAGCAGAAUACCAGAUCAUCUUGAAACUGCAGUGUGAGAGGAAGAUUGCUGUCUACGGCUGAGAUGUUUCCAGUGGAGUCCCCAGGAGGCUUGACAGGUAGCCAAGGGGACCUUGUGGUGUCAGAGAGGGACUAGGGCUUCAAGCAGACCCUGGAUGGAGAUUACUCUGCUACUGAAUAAAACCCUAGCUUAUUUCUC